GCUUGCUACCUGACCUAGCGGCGGACGGGUGAGUAAUGCUUAGGAAUCUGCCUAUUAGUGGGGGACAACAUUCCGAAAGGAAUGCUAAUACCGCAUACGCCCUACGGGGGAAAGCAGGGGAUCUUCGGACCUUGCGCUAAUAGAUGAGCCUAAGUCAGAUUAGCUAGUUGGUGGGGUAAAGGCCUACCAAGGCGACGAUCUGUAGCGGGUCUGAGAGGAUGAUCCGCCACACUGGGACUGAGACACGGCCCAGACUCCUACGGGAGGCAGCAGUGGGGAAUAUUGGACAAUGGGCGAAAGCCUGAUCCAGCCAUGCCGCGUGUGUGAAGAAGGCCUUUUGGUUGUAAAGCACUUUAAGCGAGGAGGAGGCUACUUGGAUUAAUACUCUAGGAUAGUGGACGUUACUCGCAGAAUAAGCACCGGCUAACUCUGUGCCAGCAGCCGCGGUAAUACAGAGGGUGCGAGCGUUAAUCGGAUUUACUGGGCGUAAAGCGUGCGUAGGCGGCUUCUUAAGUCGGAUGUGAAAUCCCUGAGCUUAACUUAGGAAUUGCAUUCGAUACUGGGAAGCUAGAGUAUGGGAGAGGAUGGUAGAAUUCCAGGUGUAGCGGUGAAAUGCGUAGAGAUCUGGAGGAAUACCGAUGGCGAAGGCAGCCAUCUGGCCUAAUACUGACGCUGAGGUACGAAAGCAUGGGGAGCAAACAGGAUUAGAUACCCUGGUAGUCCAUGCCGUAAACGAUGUCUACUAGCCGUUGGGGCCUUUGAGGCUUUAGUGGCGCAGCUAGCGCGAUAAGUAGACCGCCUGGGGAGUACGGUCGCAAGACUAAAACUCAAAUGAAUUGACGGGGGCCCGCACAAGCGGUGGAGCAUGUGGUUUAAUUCGAUGCAACGCGAAGAACCUUACCUGGUCUUGACAUAGUAAGAACUUUCCAGAGAUGGAUUGGUGCCUUCGGGAACUUACAUACAGGUGCUGCAUGGCUGUCGUCAGCUCGUGUCGUGAGAUGUUGGGUUAAGUCCCGCAACGAGCGCAACCCUUUUCCUUAUUUGCCAGCGGGUUAAGCCGGGAACUUUAAGGAUACUGCCAGUGACAAACUGGAGGAAGGCGGGGACGACGUCAAGUCAUCAUGGCCCUUACGACCAGGGCUACACACGUGCUACAAUGGUCGGUACAAAGGGUUGCUACCUAGCGAUAGGAUGCUAAUCUCAAAAAGCCGAUCGUAGUCCGGAUUGGAGUCUGCAACUCGAC
This 1243-nucleotide ribosomal RNA is filed under the name uncultured Acinetobacter sp. RNAcentral describes it as "bacterial SSU rRNA". It matches the Rfam family "Bacterial small subunit ribosomal RNA", at positions 78 to 1316 of the family's 1533-position model. The record is from RNAcentral. Lineage: Bacteria; Pseudomonadati; Pseudomonadota; Gammaproteobacteria; Moraxellales; Moraxellaceae.